RNAcentral lists this ribosomal RNA (388 nucleotides) under uncultured bacterium. RNAcentral's name for it is "bacterial SSU rRNA". It matches the Rfam family "Bacterial small subunit ribosomal RNA", at positions 370 to 772 of the family's 1533-position model. The record is from RNAcentral.
AAUGGGGGAAACCCUGACCCAGCAACGCCGCGUGAAGGAAGAAGGUUUUCGGAUUGUAAACUUCUGUCGCAGGGGACGAAAAAAAUGACGGUACCCUGUGAGGAAGCCCCGGCUAACUACGUGCCAGCAGCCGCGGUAAUACGUAGGGGGCAAGCGUUGUCCGGAAUUACUGGGCGUAAAGGGUGCGUAGGCGGCCAAACAAGUCAGAUGUGAAAUACCCGGGCUUAACUCGGGGGGUGCAUUUGAAACUGUAUGGCUUGAGUGUAGGAGAGGAAAGCGGAAUUCCUAGUGUAGCGGUGAAAUGCAUAGAUAUUAGGAGGAACACCAGUGGCGAAGGCGGCUUUCUGGACUACAACUGACGCUGAUGCACGAAAGCGUGGGGAGCAAA